Long non-coding RNA from Scomber scombrus (Atlantic mackerel), 217 nucleotides. RefSeq lists it as uncharacterized. The record is from RefSeq and is a predicted model, not a curated record. Lineage: Eukaryota; Metazoa; Chordata; Actinopteri; Scombriformes; Scombridae. The transcript is spliced from 3 exons.
AGGAGCCAAACUGGCCCUGUUUGCAGAGAGCCACCCCUUCAAUAACGAGCAACAAGUGCUUGCCAUGAGGGAUGAGAUUCACGCCAACGAGGAGAACGUCGAGCAUUUCCACAAGAAGUCUGUAGAGAUCCAGGAAAUGCUGCAGACUCAGGAGCCUCCACUGGAGCUGCAGGUGAUGGAAACCCAGCUGAGGAAGAGGAUGGAGCAGGUGGAGGAG